RNAcentral lists this ribosomal RNA (253 nucleotides) under uncultured bacterium. Its description in RNAcentral is "partial 16S ribosomal RNA". It matches the Rfam family "Bacterial small subunit ribosomal RNA", at positions 524 to 776 of the family's 1533-position model. The record is from RNAcentral.
GACGAACCGUGCGAACGUUGUUCGGAUUCACUGGGCUUAAAGGGCGCGUAGGCGGGUUCUCAAGUCGGGGGUGGAAUCCCACAGCCUAACUGUGGAAGUGCCCCCGAUACUGGGAGCCUGGAGGGAGGUAGGGGUGUGUGGAACUUCCGGUGGAGCGGUGAAAUGCGUAGAUAUCGGAAGGAACGACGGUGGCGAAAGCGCCGCACUGGACCUCUUCUGACGCUGAGGCGCGAAAGCCAGGGGAGCAAAUGGG